This 441-nucleotide ribosomal RNA is filed under the name uncultured Cronobacter sp. RNAcentral describes it as "bacterial SSU rRNA". It matches the Rfam family "Bacterial small subunit ribosomal RNA", at positions 349 to 782 of the family's 1533-position model. Lineage: Bacteria; Pseudomonadati; Pseudomonadota; Gammaproteobacteria; Enterobacterales; Enterobacteriaceae. The record is from RNAcentral.
CAGCAGUGGGGAAUAUUGCACAAUGGGCGCAAGCCUGAUGCAGCCAUGCCGCGUGUAUGAAGAAGGCCUUCGGGUUGUAAAGUACUUUCAGCGAGGAGGAAGGUGUUGUGGUUAAUAACCGCAGCAAUUGACGUUACUCGCAGAAGAAGCACCGGCUAACUCCGUGCCAGCAGCCGCGGUAAUACGGAGGGUGCAAGCGUUAAUCGGAAUUACUGGGCGUAAAGCGCACGCAGGCGGUUUGUUAAGUCAGAUGUGAAAUCCCCGGGCUCAACCUGGGAACUGCAUUUGAAACUGGCAAGCUUGAGUCUCGUAGAGGGGGGUAGAAUUCCAGGUGUAGCGGUGAAAUGCGUAGAGAUCUGGAGGAAUACCGGUGGCGAAGGCGGCCCCCUGGACGAAGACUGACGCUCAGGUGCGAAAGCGUGGGGAGCAAACAGGAUUAGA